AGAGUUGAUCCUGGCUAGAACGAACGCUGGCGGCGCGUCUUAAGCAUGCAAGUCGGACGGCAAGGGUAGCAAUACCCCUAGAGUGGCGGACUGGUGAGUAACGCGUGGGUGACCUACCCUUGAGUUGGGGAUAGCCAUUAGAAAUAGUGGAUAAUACCGAAUACGAUCGCGACACUUUGGUGAUGCGAUGAAAGGAGCUACGGCUCCGCUCGAGGAUGGGCCCGCGUCCCAUUAGCUAGUUGGUGAGGUAACGGCCCACCAAGGCGACGAUGGGUAUCCGGCCUGAGAGGGUGUACGGACACAUUGGGACUGAGAUACGGCCCAAACUCCUACGGGAGGCAGCAGCUAAGAAUAUUCCGCAGUGGACGAAAGUCUGACGGAGCGACGCCGCGUGGAUGAAGAAGGCCGAAAAGGUUGUAAAAUCCUUUUGCUGAUGAAGAAUAAGUGUGGUAGGGAAUGACCGCAUGAUGACAUUAGUCGGUGAAUAAGCCCCGGCUAACUACGUGCCAGCAGCUGC
Molecule: ribosomal RNA, 517 nt
Filed under: uncultured bacterium
Lineage: Bacteria
Description: bacterial SSU rRNA
Rfam family: Bacterial small subunit ribosomal RNA
Source: RNAcentral